Molecule: ribosomal RNA, 311 nt
Filed under: uncultured bacterium
Lineage: Bacteria
Description: bacterial SSU rRNA
Rfam family: Bacterial small subunit ribosomal RNA
Source: RNAcentral
GACGAACGCUGGCGGCACGCCUAACACAUGCAAGUCGAACGGACGCGGAGGAAGCUUGCUUCUUCCAAGUUAGUGGCGGACGGGUGAGUAACACGUGAGCAACCUGCCUUUAAGAGGGGGAUAGCUUCUGGAAACGGAUGGUAAUACCCCAUAACAUAUACUGAUGGCAUCUUCAGUAUAUCAAAGAUUUAUCGCUUAGAGAUGGGCUCGCGUCUGAUUAGAUAGUUGGUGAGGUAACGGCUCACCAAGUCGACGAUCAGUAGCCGGACUGAGAGGUUGAACGGCCACAUUGGGACUGAGACACGGCCCAG